GCCUGGGUGGCUCAGUCGGUUUGAGUGUCUGACUUCAGCUCAGGUCAUGAUCUCGCAUCUUGUGAGUUUGAGCCCCACAUCAGGCU
This 86-nucleotide transfer RNA is filed under the name Felis catus (domestic cat). The record is from Rfam by way of RNAcentral. Lineage: Eukaryota; Metazoa; Chordata; Mammalia; Carnivora; Felidae. RNAcentral also lists the same sequence under 1 other name.